This 819-nucleotide ribosomal RNA is filed under the name Trechispora mollusca. RNAcentral's name for it is "partial large subunit ribosomal RNA". It matches the Rfam family "Eukaryotic large subunit ribosomal RNA", at positions 77 to 915 of the family's 3401-position model. Lineage: Eukaryota; Fungi; Basidiomycota; Agaricomycetes; Trechisporales; Hydnodontaceae. The record is from RNAcentral.
CCCCUAGUAACUGCGAGUGAAGCGGGAAAAGCUCAAAUUUGAAAUCUGACGGUUCCGCCGUCCGAGUUGUAUUCUGGAGAAGCGUUUUCCGUGCCGGACCGUGUACAAGUCCCUUGGAACAGGGCGUCGUAGAGGGUGAGAAUCCCGUCUUUGACACGGACCACCGGUGCUAUGUGAUGCGCUCUCGAAGAGUCGAGUUGUUUGGGAAUGCAGCUCAAAAUGGGUGGUAAAUUCCAUCUAAAGCUAAAUAUUGGCGAGAGACCGAUAGCGAACAAGUACCGUGAGGGAAAGAUGAAAAGCACUUUGGAAAGAGAGUAAAACAGUACGUGAAAUUGUUGAAAGGGAAACGCUUGAAGUCAGUCGCGUCUGCCGGAACUCAGCCUUGCUUCUGCUUGGUGCACUUUCCGGCCCGACGGGCCAGCAUCGGUUUUGGGCGGCGGACACUGGCGUGGGGAAGGUGGCAGCUCCGGCUGUGUUAUAGCCCCUCGUCGCAAACGUCGUCCGGGACCGAGGAAUCCGGCGCAAGCCUGGGAUGCUGGCGUAAUGGCUUUAAACGACCCGUCUUGAAACACGGACCAAGGAGUGCUACGUGCUCGCGAGUGUUUGGGUGGAAAACCCGGACGCGCAAUGAAAGUGAAAGUCGAUACCCCUCGCGGGGGCACCGACGCCCGAGCCCGAUGUUUUCGGAGGGCCUUGCGGUAGAGCGAGUGCGUUGCGACCCGAAAGAUGGUGAACUAUUCCUGAGGAGGGCGAAGCCAGAGGAAACUCUGGUGGAGGCUCGUAGCGGUUCUGACGUGCAAAUCGAUCGCAGGACUUGGG